Molecule: transfer RNA, 70 nt
Filed under: Pleodorina starrii
Lineage: Eukaryota; Viridiplantae; Chlorophyta; Chlorophyceae; Chlamydomonadales; Volvocaceae
Description: tRNA-Leu
Rfam family: tRNA
About the family: Transfer RNA (tRNA) molecules are approximately 80 nucleotides in length.
Source: RNAcentral
GGGAGUUUGGUCUAGUGGUAUGAUUCUCGCUUAGGGUGAGAGGUCGUGGGUUCAAUUCCCGCAACUCCCC